This 460-nucleotide ribosomal RNA is filed under the name bacterium MB4001. Its description in RNAcentral is "bacterial SSU rRNA". It matches the Rfam family "Bacterial small subunit ribosomal RNA", at positions 28 to 471 of the family's 1533-position model. The record is from RNAcentral.
GAUGAACGCUGGCGGCGUGCCUAACACAUGCAAGUCGAACGGAGAUUUAACGCUGAUGAAGCUUCGGCAGAUUCUUGUUAAAUCUUAGUGGCGGACGGGUGAGUAACGCGUGGGCAACCUGCCUCAUACUGGGGGAUAACAGCUGGAAACGACUGUUAAUACCGCAUAAGCGCACGGUAUCGCAUGAUCCAGUGUGAAAAACUCCGGUGGUAUGAGAUGGGCCCGCGUCAGAUUAGCCAGUUGGCAGGGUAACGGCCUACCAAAGCGACGAUCUGUAGCCGCCCUGAGAGGGCGGACGGCCCCAUUGGGACUGAGACACGGCCCAAACUCCUACGGGAGGCAGCAGUGGGGGAUAUUGCACAAUGGAGGAAACUCUGAUGCAGCGACGCCGCGUGAGUGAAGAAGUAUUUCGGUAUGUAAAGCUCUAUCAGCAGGGAAGAAAGCACUCGUAAGAGAGAUG